AAACACACCCUCAAACUGUCUCUUUACCCCUUCUCCUCAACCUGAAAAGGUAAAAAAAAUUUCAGUUCUUUCUUUCUUCAAUUUUAUCUCUCUGUUUCUCUCUAUGAUUUGGGCUUCACAAGAAUUCAAAAUUGAAUUCUUGGAAGCCUCACUAGAGAACCGUUGCAGCGCUCCUUAGCUUCGGCUAUGAAAGGAGCCCUGUGGGUUCCUAUUUUUUUUAGGAAUCAGGAAUCAUCAAUUAUCAGGAAAUUCAGACUCUUAUUUUCUCUUUGUUUUCCUUGCUCACUUUUCGAGUAAAAGUUGAGUUUGAGUUCGAAUCUCCGAUGAGAAAGUCUUAGUUCGUUGCUCCAAAAAAGGUCAGUAAUCACAUUCACCUUUUAUUUUAUUUUGAUUUCUAGAAAUAAAAAGUGUAGUCAUUAAAUAGCCUUUUUGCUGUGUUAAAAUUCUGCCUAUUUGGAUGUGUUUGUGCAAUCACUAUUUAUUGUAGUUUCAAUUUGUAAAGAAUGGUUAACAAGAGGUGAUAACAUUUAUGUAUAAGUAUGUCGUUCGCGUUGUUAUGUUUCGAAAUCCGUCGAAACCUGUUCUCCCUAUUUUUGUUUCAAAAUCUAUGUCAAGGGGUUUUUAAAAAAAUGAACUUGAAUAUUUAGGGAGAUGGGAUCACUUUUCUAUGCUUUGAGGAUUUGUGUGUGAAUAAAAAGUCCUUUUACUGGCUUACCCACUUUUGCCUCAGGUUCAACCAAUCUGAAAUUUACAAAACUGAUUUGUGAUUUUUUUUCUUCUCAAUCAAAAUAGUAGCUUAGUUUAUCGUGAGUUUGAAAGAAAAAAAGAUUGCCUGCUUUAAUCAGUUAGUUUUCUUUAAGUUUUUUUUAAAAAUCAAUUUUUGUAUUCAAGUUCAUUUGGAAGUCAUAUUACUGAACGAUUUCGUUAAUCCAAAAUUGGCAAAGUAUCUGAUCUAAGUUUGAGCUAUGUCGAAAAUGUUAAGUUGUAUGUUUAGAUUUAAUUGUGUCGUUCUAUUUCGAAUUUUUAAAAUUGUCUAAGACACAUUUUCUGAUAAUGUAUAACCCUCAUUUUAGCUUGGCGGAUGCGUACAGUUUGGUGGAAUCGAGGGUUUUUACUUAUUUGUUUAAUUGCUUGUUAACAGGUGUGUAUAUAAGUAGAACGAAAGUAUUGUUGGGUUCGAAAUCGAUAGGCCGUUAUGCGGAAGCUAUUAGUUGCAAACUAUGGGAUGAUAAAUAAGAUGACAACGAAAAACAAUACUAAAAACAUAAUUUUAUUAUAUGAUUUGGCCAAUUGGCCUAAAUAUAAAACUUCAUAUUUAAAACAUAAAACUAAUAAGAGAGAAAAUCUCCCCCUAAACAAAAAUCUUAAAAGACUAUAUUGUGGAUGCUAUUGUGUUAUGGUAUGAGAAGGGGUUUCUAUUUAUAGAGUUUCAAAACAUUCCUCCAAGAAAGAGGUUUGCCAAAUAUGAAAAAGUUUUAUAUUUUUCUUUUAGGAAAAAGUAAUUUUGGUACUUAGGGGUGUACAGAUCAAACCGUCAAGUCAAAUCGAACCGAUGAACCAAACCAAACCGAGAAAAAAAAUCGACUUAUGAUUUGGUUUGAUUGGUUUGGCGUUAGAAAAAAAACCCGACCAUUCUUGGUUUGGUUUGGUAUUAACAAAAAAAAAGUCAAACCGAAUAUAUAUAUAUAUAUUUGAACUUUUUUAUACAUAAAAUAUUAAUUAUAAUCUACUUUUUAAAUACUUUUUCAACUAGUUUUAGUAAUUUUCAAUAAUUUGAAAGUAGAUGUAGAUAUAUAUUUAGAUUUGGGCGGCUAAGUUGAAAUAUAAGGGCAGUAAAAAUCAUAUGUAUUUGUAUUUUUGUAGCAUUAGUUUGCAAAAAUACAAAAUACAACUUACUAUAUUAUGUAAUUAUGAAACUGUUGCUAUGAAACUCAUAUUUAAGGAGAUAAGUAUGCUAUUUCUGAAUUUUGUCCAUAAAGUAGCAUACUUAAGUAUUAAAUUACAAAAAAUAGCAACACUUUUAUCAAAUUACAUUUUGUAGCAUAUGUAUUUGUAUUUUUGUAGCAAAAGUUUGCAAAAAUACAAAAUACAUAUCAUCAUAAGGGAAGUAAAAAUUAUAUGUAUUUGUAUUUUUGUAGUAACAGUUUGCAAAAAUAAAAAAUACAACUUGCUAUAUUAUGUAAUUAUGAAACUAUUGCGAUGAAACUCAUAAUUAAGGGAAUAAGUAUGCUAUUUCUAAAUUUUGCCCUAUAUAUAUUGCUAUUUGUGCCUUUAAGUUGUAAUAUUUGUCCAUUAAUUGCUAAUUAAAUGAUCGAAAACCCAAUAUAAACUUAAAACCUAAACUUUUCACUGUUCAUGUCAUUUUUUAGUUUCAAGAGAGUUUUCCGCUCUCCAUUUUUUCUUAAUUAUGGUUUUUCAUUAGCACAUGAGUGAAAACAUAUUUGAUCUAAUUUUUGAUCAUAAUAUAAUUAUAAAAAAAAACGCGAAACAACUAAAAAAAUCGAAAACCCAAAAAAAUCGACUAAAACCUAAAUCGAAAAAAUCAAUUUUAUGUUGAUUUGAUUUGGUUUAUAGUUUUAAUAAACCGACAUGAUUGGUUUAAUUGUUUUUUUUAAUAAAAACCGAACCAAUCCGACCUAUGUACACCCUUAAUGGUACUACUUUUAUUUUCUUUCAAUAGAAAAUUAAAACUCAAUUUGAUAAGAAAAUCAAGGUUAAAAAAUCCUAAUAAAUCUCCCUUUUUUGGCUCGAUUUUCUUCGGUUGAUUUGCCUUCUUCACAUAGUUGAUCUUUGUUCUUCAUAUAGUCUUCAUCACUGCUGCUUAACAUGUUCAAAAAUGGAGCUUUUGGGGUUAAAAAUAUAUGAGCCCUUUUCGGGUUAAAAAUAUUGGAGCCUUUUGUAGGGUUAAAAGUAAGUUUUAUUUUCAAAUAUGUAACAACAGAAUUGUUGAAAAUAUGAUUGACAAUCGUCUCCACAUGUAGUUUUUGGAUAUAUAUCUUCAUUAUCAUCAAAUUUAUUGCAAUUUUCAUCUUAAACUAUCCUCAAUUGAGCCAUUCGAUCUAUGAACCAUUGGCUCUAUAUUAAUUAUUGGGUUCGAAAUCGAGAGGGCGUCAUGCGGAAGCUCAUAGUUGCAAACUAUGAGACGAUAAAUAAGAUGACAAUGAAAAACAAUACUAAAAACAUAAUUUUAUUAUAUGAUUUGACCAAUUGACCUACAUAUAAAACUUAAUAUUAAAAACAUAAAACUAAUAAGAGAGAAAAUCUCCCUCUAAACGAAAAUCUUAAAAGACUACAUUGUGGAUGCUAUUGUGUAAUGGUAUGAAAAGGGGGUUUCAAUCUAUAGAGUUCCAAAACCUUUCCUCGAAGAAAGAGAUUUGCUAAAUAUGAAAAAGUUUUAUAUUUUUAUUUUAGGAAAAAUAAAAGUAAUUAUGAUACUAUUUUUAUUUUUCUUCAAUAGAAAAUUAAAACUCAAUUUUGGUAAGAAAAUCAAGGCAAAAACCCUAACAACUAUUAACUCAAGUCUUAAAGUUUUGAAGUAAGCUUGUGAAGUUCUCUCGACUAAAAUAGUAGAAUGAGCAGUUGGUGUGACUUAUUAUAGUGAUUAAAAGUUACUAGUUUCCUUUCUAGAUUAGGUUGUCUGCAAUUUGCUGCAGCUAUUUUAACUAUUUACUAUGCACAUCCGUGCAUUUACAAGGCACUGACAGCCUAUAAAUAAAGUAGAUUUGGGUUGCUCAUCAUGAUAUUCUUGUAAGGUAAACAAGCUGGAGGUUUUAACUCCUGAAAGAUUGUAUUUAGUUGCUUAAAGGUUUGCACAGGAUGAUCACUUAUUGAUUUAAUUGAGUUAGUCAAAUGAUUUGAUGUUUGCUUGCGAUAAGGGAUUGAAUUACUUAAAAGUGUCAAAUGGACUGAUUUUUAGGUGUCAAUACAUGUUCUCCUCCAUUAUUCUCUAGAGGAUAUGAUCUUAACUCGAUGGUAUAGAUAUCUCACUUUUCUUUUCUGAAAACAUCUUAUCAUGCAUGGUUUAGAGCAAUUGUGGCAAGUAUUUUAGUUCAAAUAAACCUUUAUAAAAUUGAGGUCUAAAUGUGAAUUGAUUGCCUUUUAUAGGAUAGUUGUAAUAAUGUCAUUUUCAUUAUUUAGCCUUUUUUCAUAUUUGUUGUGUAUUUACGAGAUGCCGACCGCUUUAAUUUUUCAUAAAAGAAAGAAUUUCUAAAUAAUAUGUCCAUCCAUGUGGUCAAUUUACUUGAAAUAAUUUUUCAUAAAGUUUAAUGUUUUAAGCACAAUAGGUUUCUAUCAACUUCAGUUUCUAAAGCAUGACUAACCAUCUAUUUGGGACUGUUUUAGCAUCAGAUUUGGACGUUUUCUUCUGAAUGCUGCCGCAGUCAUAGUUACUUAUCUAUUUGGUUACACUCCCAAGAUAUUUUUAGCCUCCGACUUAGCGCGCAAAGCAUUUCUAAGAUUUUAAACUUUGAGGAAGUAUCAGUCAUUUCUCUUGAAAUCAUUACAUAUUUAUUUUGGGUGCAUUCAUAUAACAUUUAUUAGUUAAAUGGGGCUGAUUUAAUGAUCCUCAAUAAGUUUUUUCACUACUAUAUUUUUUUUUGCUUCGCAAAGUCAUAUUUGUGUACCGUAGCUUGUAAAUUAUGUUAUCACCUUAAGAUUAACUAACUAGUAGCCGGCUUCUAAGUUUUGUCUUGAAUAUUUUAGCUCAGAUGUUAAUUCUGUUUGUUGAGUAGAAGUCUACACAUGAACCUAGCUUUUCCUUUUCUCUUUAGACUAGAAACUUGAUUCCUAGUAAUUUAGAAUACAUGGACUAUUUAGCUUGAAAAGGAUCUUCGAAGGCCAUAGGAGAAAUUUACAUAGCUUAAAACAAAUGUGUUUCUUUUGCUAGUUUUUUGGUGCAACAUGGUUAUAGUACGUAAUAUUAAUGCAAUUUUAGAAGCAAACAGGAAUCUGCACAAUGAAGUUAUGUUCUUACACAUUGGCUUAGUGCAAGUACUUUUAAAAUCUUUGCUUACCAAAAAAAAAAAAAAAAGAUUAGAGUAAAAAUAGAGUUCUAUCCUCUCAUGUCUAGAGAGAGUUGAGAUUUCAUCACUAGGCCUUAUGCAAUGUUGCAUUCCGAAGGAUUAUUGAUUCCAGAAUUGAAGUGCAAAUCUCUAACGUUGGAGUUGCCUAUGAAAAAAAUGCAAUUUUCAUAGCUAGCCUAGAAAGUAAUUUUCAGGAAUCUGCAUGUGUUGUAUUUUGAAACCUCAUCUGAAGUGUGAAUAGUAUAUUGUGCGUAUUGGUUAUGAUUUAGCACGUCUUAUGAUCGUUAAGUAAUAAAACCUUUUGUCUGUGCCGUUGUUGAAUGUUUUAUGUAAAUUUUAUGAGUUGAUUUCCUGAUUUUCAUAGCUGCCCGGAUAUAAACUCAUUCUUAUGUGUUAGUCAAAUCUGUAAUACUCUAUAAAUUUUACACUCACAUUAUUAUGUCUUUAAGGGGCCGUUUGGUUCGCGGGACUAGAGUCAAUAAUCCCGGGAUAAAAUAAUAUUCCUGGGAUAAAAAUGUAACUCACUCGUUUGGUUGUAAAUAUUUGGGAUAAUUUAUCCCGGGACUAAUGAUUAGUCCCGGGAUAAGUUAUUCACUCAAAUGGUGGGAUAACAAUCCCAAGACUAUUUUUCUUUGGUAUAAAAUUAUACAAGGACAAAAAUACUCUUAUUUUCAUUUCUCUCUCUCUCUCUCACACACACACACACACAUAUAUAUAUAUAUAUAAUAAUUAACGUAAACUGGUAAACUGUAUAAUAAUUAUGUUUUGAACGUAUAAUAUAUAUUAUGGACAGUAUAAUAUAUUAUGAACAUAAAUAUAUAUUAUGAAUAACGUAUUAACAUAAUAUAUAACGUAAUGUAUUCUCACACACACAAAUUAUGUUUAAUUAACGUAUAAUAUAUUCAUAAAUAAAUAAAUUUUGUACAGUUUACCGUUUAAAGUGCUUAUAAAAUAUAUAAAUUAUGUUUAUUUAUAUAUUCUAAUUUCUCUAAAAAAUAAUAAAAACUUUUAAGAAUGAAUAUUUAAAGCUUAAAAAGAAAUAUAUAUAUAAAAAAAGUUAAAUAAGAUUGAGGGUAUUUUGGUAAUCAAUCAAUUUAUUCCUAGAAAUUAUACCAUGCAUAUUACUUUGAAUACAACAAACCAAACACUCAAUAAAAAAUAAUCCCAGCAUAACUAAUUCCAGUAUAACUUAUCUCAUUAUAACUUAUCCCAACAUAACUAAUUUCGGUAUGACUUGUUUUCAAACCAAAUGACCCCUAAAAGAUUCCUAAUCCUUUUAUUUUCUUAUUUCACAUGUGCUCGGGAGCGCAUUUGGAGUCUCUUGGCUGGAUUACAUCUCUGUCCAAAUUAGAGAAGCGAAUAAUAGAUGGCACUACGUGUUUUAAUCUGGCAGUCUAGUGCCUCUUUCUGUCAUUUAACAUUUCACACAUUAUUAUUUGAAAUUUUAUGUUUUAUAUGUUCUUAUUUGAAUUAGUGUGAAUUCUUAAAUUUGUUAGCGAAGUUAAUUGUUUUCUUUUAGAUUUUUAAUUUAACAUAAUUGUCAGAUUAGGUGCUUAAUUCAUAUCAUUAAAGAUUAAAAAUUAAUAGGUAGAAACAUACCUUUUAGAAUAAAUGACCAUGUUUGUUAGAAUCCUUUAAUGCUUCUUUAGUGUGAAAUAGUAGCCUAUUUUUAGAAUCGAGUUUGUUUGUCAUUAAUUAGUAAUAUCGAAUUAACAAAAAAUAUUAAUUUUUGCGGUAGACUAAUUUAUCAUCGUUGGACUCAAAAAUGGACUUUAAUAAUUUUGGAUAUGGUAAAUCAAUUUUAAUUUUUAUCAAUUUCAAAUAAAAGAUGACAACUUUGCCAGAUCGACUUCGCAAGACUUUUUUUUUUAGGAUUUCAAAUGACAAGAAAAUAUUUUAUUUAUUUAUUUAUUUAUUUAUUUAUUUCUCAAGUUAUUUUAAACAACUAUAUUUUUAUAUAUUCUUUUAGUGUAGGAUAAUUAAUCUAUUUUUACAAAAGUUGAUAAAAAAAAGGAAAAGAGACAUUUUUUUAAAAUAAAGAAAAAAAUGUGAAGUUCUUGACAUAACUAUCGUUUUAAUUAUUAAUUGAAAGCUUUGUUUAUCUUUUAAAAAUGAUAUUAAAUAACCCUCUUUUUUGACAAAAAAUAAGGCUGCAUUAUUUUUAAGAGGUCGUAUAAAAAUUAUCUUCGGUAGUUAUUGAAAAAUACAUUUUAUAACGAGGUUCUUCUAAAGUUUUCUAUUCUUCUUCUUAUAAAUAAUUAGCAUGUUUUAUUUUAAAAAUAUCUAUAUAUUUUUAAAAUCUUAUUUAUAUCUUUCUUAACAUAGCUUUGAUUUUCUUUUAUCUAAUCUAAGUUUGGCCAGUUAACCAUAGCUGGCGGAUCUUUUAGGGUACCUAAUCCCUUCUCUUUAGGAUAUUUAUAAUUCUUACCUAGAAUGGUAAGUUAAGUAAACAUAAAAGUAAAGUCUUUAUUUCCUUUAAAUAAAGAAAACACUGUAAAACUAACAGGUGACGACUUUCUUAAUUUUAAUUUGGAGUUUUCAAUAUGUUGUUCCUUGGUUUGACCCACGUUAAGAUAGGGUAUAACAAUUUGACGACUUCACUGGAAAUUUAUUUGGCUCUUGACCAUAACAAACUUAGAUUAAUAAUUAAGUUUUUAUUUGUUUCACACUAAUUGUCUUGAUUUAUCAUAUAUGUGUGGCAUAAACUGUGUUGUUGCUACAAAUUGCUUAUUUGUUUAUCGCUUUUUUCGUUCAUAUUUCCUUCACUUUGAAAAACUAACUCUCACACACAUUGUACAAGCGGAUUAUACAUUGUACCUUUCCAAAAUUCUUUCAAAUCACCUUACUUUAGAGAGUUGGCGCAUACGUGGGGCGAGCGGGAGUUUUACUACCGUGGGACCACGUGUUUUCUCAUAUUGGAAAUUCAAGUCCGUGUCUAUCCAAAUUUUUAAAAAACUUAAGAUAAAGCAUUAUCACCCUUGAUUUAGGCCAUGCACGCAUAAACUCUAGAUGACUUGAUCCGUGGGACCAUUCCACAAAUAGGAGAACACCUUAUAUGUCAAAUGGAUUUCACGACCCAAUAAUGACUCUCAUGUUAUGUGCAGAGAUAAUGAUAAAUUGAUCCAAGUUAAAAUUUAUCAAAGUGAGUUUGAAAAAUUCUAACUCCAAACUUGAGUACUGUCAUUAAUUAAAGCUUAGAUCAAUUUAUUAGAAUCUCAAUUAAUAGCUGACGCUUCGGCCUACCUCUGACAUAAAGGAGUCACCCAUAUAUUAGGACGUUAUUUGUUUUGUAAAUUAUUUGCUUACAUACUACUUGACCUACAUGAAUUUAGUUGAAAUAUAAUGUGACUUGAUAUUUAUUUGCUAACUUCACCUUUAUUUUGUCCUUAUUUUUGAAGAAGAAAACUAAAUUUUGCAAUUAUAUAUCUCUUUAUUAUCUAUUGCAUUUUUACAUAUUUAUAUCAUCGUAUUUCUUUAAAAUUCUAUUAUCAUAACACUUCUGUGCUUGACGCAUUUUAACAAUUCUAGAGCAUCAUUUAAGAAAUUAUCUUAAACUUUUAGUAUUUCAAUAAGAUUUUCUUCCAUUUUUUUUUUUUUAUGAUCUUCUAUAGAACUCAGAUUCUUUCUUUAAAUUUUUAAUGAGUUUAAUUCAUCAUUAUUUUUAAAAUUUUUCCUAGAGUUUUUUUAAUAUUUGUCUUCGCAAUUUGUUAAAAAUUUUCUUAUACUCUGUUAACCUGGGUAUAAUUCUUCGUAAAUAUUUUUUCUGUCUACUUUUUCUAAAUCAUUCAUUUCAAAUUAUAUCAGACUCAUGCUAAAUUUAAACUAUUAGAUUUUCUCCCUUUUCAAGCUAUUUCAAGUCCUUUCUUUACGGGUGUAAUCUUCUAUUUGUUGCGACGAAACAGUUAGCCUGUUAGUUUCAUACUUCGUAGUAACUAUUUAGUGUCGAUCUACAUCAUGAAACUCUUGCUCACUCUCUUAAUUUUUUUCGACCUCUUAUUGGCCGUCAAGCCAUUUGUUGCUUCUUAAGUUGGUCUAUGUCCAAAUUUAUUUAUACAAACUAUCAAAUCGCUUUUGACUUUAUUUGUUCAAUUUUCUCCGUUAAAUUAUUUUAGAGCGAUGUCCUAAGUUUGAUACUUCUUUAAAGAUUCACCUGUUCAAAAUGCUUGUGUCGUUCCUACCUUGAAAUUAUUGGGAUUGAUCUUUCAGUACUCAUCUUAAAUUGAAGCUUUUGCACGUAAAUAAAAAAAUCCUAUUAAUUGACAUUUUCUUCAUCCUUGAUGUUUUUUAAUCCACCAAUGUUAAAUUAGAAUUUUGAGUCAUUCACAACCCUUUGUCUUAUCAAAAUUUAAUAUUUGCGUGCUCUAUUUCCUUAUUAAAUUUUAUCUCAAGCUUAUAUCCCUUAUUGGAAUCGAUCCAUUGGUUUCCUUAUCGUAUUUCAAAAUACUUCAUGCUUACCUUUUCAUAAUUAUUCAAUGCUUACCGAGUGUUUCAUUUUCCUUCCAAAGGUUGACUUAAGUUGAGCACCAAAAGUAAUUCAAGGAAAAUUUGACUGAUGAAAUUACUGUGAUUGACCUAUGAAAUUAUUGUGAUUGACCUGGUUGAGAAUGAGUUCGACUUCGAAAAACCAGAGUCGCAUCCAGAUAAAGUAGCUAAGCUUGAGAAAAAAGUGUCACAAAUAGAGCAAGAAAUUAACGGCAUUAAAGAAAUGAUAGUCGAUCUUAAGAAUUCAUUCACUAAAAGCUAAGAAGCAUACUCACCCUUUAGCACUACCGCAUUUUCCAUCUUUGAAGGCUCAAAAUCAUAUUCACUCUUUGGCACUGGCGCACUUCUCAUUUUUUAUUAUAAUGCCCAACUUUUCUCUCCAAAAGAGACACUCAACAACUUGAAAGAAACGAGCAAAAUCGAAGCAAAUGGUGGAAGGCAUAUUAAUAUUGACACUAAUCAUAUUUUCUUUACAAAUGAGCUUGCUUUACCUUUUGAGAUGGAUUAUGACGAUAUUUUGAUGUACGACAAGGUAGGUAGUCACAUAGACCACCUGAAGGAUAUGUUGAUUGAGUGAGAAAUAUUGGGCAAGACAAUGAGUUGAAGAUGUGACUUUUUGUUAGGACAUUUGCGGGCUCAACUUUAAUAUAGUAUACAAACCCAGGCAUGUGGAAAUGAUCUUCUUGGAGCGAUCUAGUGGAUGAUUUUGUCAAAAAAUAUAGUUCUCCUAGCAAUAUUAAUAGAGGAAUAGGUCUAUUGAAAAGGAAAUCUAUAGAGUUUCCUCAGGGUCCAAAAGAAAAAGAACCAAAUUCACGCUUUUUCACAAUUUUUGCAAGCAUUUAUAAUAAAAUCGGGCAGAAAUCCAACAACGAUUUUCAUGAGCAUGACGAUUAAAGUACAGUGGAGACUUUUUUGAAAUAUGUCAUAUAGAAAGCACGUAGUAGGAUGACCAAUUUUUGGGUAGCAUUUUUUUGGGAACAAUUAUGUACUUUUGUGAACUUAAUGAUUAAUUCUCUAUAUGUUUUUAAAUUUUAUUUUAUGUAAGCCGAACUAACAGUUGACCUGAUUAUGAUUAAUUCUCUAUAUGUUUUUAAAUUUUAUUUUAUGUAAGCCAAACUAACAGUUGGCCUGAUUUCCUUGGUGGAUACGUAGGCAGCCUACAUAGGGACUCAGUCAUACCAACCAAGACUUUAGCAAAUGGCACACAUGAAAAGAUCUGGCUCGCGACUUUGUAGGGCAGUAUGAGCUUAAUAUUGGAGGCGAUCCAUGCAUGACUGAUUUACUUAAUGUAAAGAAGUGACACAUGAGUAUUUUCAAGCAUAUACCACAUGAUGGAGGUUAGAAGCUUCAAAGAUACACUCUCUUCUUUUGGAAUAAGAAUUGAUCUCAGCCUUCAUCCAAAUUCAAGAAGGCCUAUAUUAUGAUAAGUUGUUUGAAACUUGUGAACGCAACUUCUCUAAUUUGAUUUGGAUUGGCAAAGAGAUAGGAAGUGGCAUUUAAGAAGGAAUAUUUAUAGAGGCAAUACAAGUUGCUCAUCUAGUUUUCCAAUCAGUGACACUAGGAAAUUCGCAAAGUGUAAACAAUUGAGUUUUUGUACAUCAAUCGCAAUGCCAUUAAAGUCAUCAAUUUUCACAAUCUCAUACUUCUUCUGAUUAUUGUAACACGCAUCUCCGGCCUCCUUACCAAUAAAAUUUUGGGAAUAACUCUCAACGAUUGUUUCACUAAGUACAAUCUACCUCUUGACCACAGAGAAAGAUAAAAACUUUCUCCUUCACUCCUCUGGAUGAGCCAUUGAUCAAUAUAUUUGAGAGAUUGAGAACUAGGGGACUUCUUCAACCCAAAAGAAAUUCACGCCUAAGUGUCCAUCUUCAAAUUUUGAUUAAUUCAAAAGUUGUGCUUAUCAUUCAAAUAUUCAAGUACAUGACAUUGAAGAUUGCCCAACACUAAGAUUUAAAUCAUGAUAUAAAGUGGCAAAAUAAAGUUGCAACAAGAGCCUCCAAUUAGCAAUGACAAUGUCAUAAACAAGGAUAUAAUUUUUAUUAAGGGUGAUCUAUCAAAAUUGGCACUAAGACACUUGAAGAGAAGCAUGC
Molecule: long non-coding RNA, 11593 nt
Filed under: Capsicum annuum
Lineage: Eukaryota; Viridiplantae; Streptophyta; Magnoliopsida; Solanales; Solanaceae
Description: long non-coding RNA (CANN_LNC003057)
Source: RNAcentral